UUCUAGUUCAAUUUGUUUACAGUGUAUUGAAUCUGUUUAAUAUUCCAGCAGAAAACUAAAGCUUAAUACUCAGAGGCAGAAAACUAAAGUUCCUUUUAUUGAAUCUGUUUACAGUAUUGCUCCUCUAUAUGGUGUCUACUCGUUCUCAAUCUAAAGCACCUAUGGAAGAGAAUUCUGCACAACCCGAGUUAACAACAAAGCCAUCUGCAACUGCCAAACAAUCUGCAAAGGACGUCGCUCAAAAAUCUGGUAAGAGACGAUCUGAAGCUUGGGAUAUUCAUUUUAUUGAUGUUGAAAAUUCAAAUCCAAAAAGGGUUGCAUGUAAAUAUUGUGGGAUUACGUAUGGUUGUGGAGAAAAAAACAAUAGCACUACUAAUUUGAAAGAUCAUAUAAAGCUACGUAGAUGUAAGAAAUAUCCUUAUGCAACACCUAGUUCUCAAACAACUCUAGAUUGUAAACUAAACAAAGAUGGAAAAUCGCAAAUUGUAGCAGUUAGUUUUAGUUUAGAAGCUUGUAGAAAAGCCCUCACUAAGAUGAUCAUUGUGGAUGAGUUGCCUUUUAGAUUUGUGGAUGGUGAGGGGUUUAGAGAAUUUGUGAAAAUUUUACAACCUAAGUUUAUCUUGCCUUUUCGUCAAACUGUUGCCAAGGAUUGCCUUAAGCUUUAUAUGGAAGAAAAGAAAACCUUAAAAAAUGCCUUGAAAGGACAAAGGGUAUGUCUCACAAUUGAUACAUGGACUUCAAUCCAAAACUUGAACUACAUGGUUCUCACGGCCCAUUUUAUUGAUAGUGAUUGGAAAUUGCACAAAAGAAUCCUAAACUUUUGUCAAGUUCCAAAUCACAAGGGUGAGACCAUUGGUAAGUUAAUAGAGAAGUGUUUGCAAGAUUGGGACAUUGGUAGUAUUUUCACCAUCACCGUUGAUAAUGCAAGUUCUAAUAAUUUUGCCAUUGAUUACUUGAAGAGAAACACAAACCAUUGGGAAGGGACCAUUUUAGAACACAAGUAUUUGCACAUGAGAUGUUGUGCACAUAUUUUUAAUCUUGUUGUUACUGAUGGUUUAGAGUUAGUGGAUGUGUCGGUUUUGAAAGUUCGUCAUGCGGUUAGAUUUGUGAGGUCUUCUUCUAGUAGGUUUGUACUUUUUAACAAAUGUGUGCAAGAAGCCAGGAUUAGUUGUGAUAAGUUGUUGUGCUUAGAUGUUCCAACUAGAUGGAACUCUACUUAUAUGAUGCUUGAAGCAGCGGAAAAGUUUGAACUUGCUUUCAAACGAUUGGAUGGUAAUGCACUUUACAAGAAGCAUUUUGCAGAUGAAAGAUUUGGAAAGGACAAAGUUGCCUUGUCACCCCCUAUUGCUUCCGAUUGGGUGAAUGUUAGGCAAUUUGUGAAGUUUUUGAAAGUGUUUUAUAAUGCCACAUUACGAGUCUCCGGAUCUUUGUAUGUUACCUCUAAUGCUUUCUUUAAUGAACUUUAUCUCAUUGAGCAUAGAUUGUCUAAGUUUGCCAAUAGUAUGGAUGAUCGUUUAAGUGCUAUGGGUAUGACAAUGCAAAAGAAAUAUGAUAAGUAUUGGAGCUUGGAUCGUGUUAAUCUUUUAUUGUAUAUUGCUAUUGCGCUUGAUCCUCGAAGGAAAAUGGAGUAUAUAUCUUUUUGUUUUAAGGAGUUGUAUGGUCCCUCGCAAGCAAAGUAUUUGGUAGAUAAGGUGAAUGAUGCUUUGAUUGAGUUGUAUGCAUUCUAUACAACACUUUAUCUUGGUUUAGGUGUGCCAACACAAUCACAACGUGAAGCAUUAAGUGGAGUGGAAGUUAAUGAAAGCGACGAAGAAGAAGAUGUGGAUGCAAUAGUUUCAAGAUUUCAAAAAUAUUUGAAAGAUAAAGAAGACUUGGGUAGUAAAUCUGAGGUUGAGAGGUAUUUGGGAGAUCAUUGUGAGAAGAGUGGUGAGGCCUUUGAUAUUUUGGAUUGGUGGAAGAACAAUUCUACUAGGUACAAAGUUCUUUCUCAAAUAGCUCGAGAUGUUUUGGCGAUUCCUGUGUCUUCGGUUUCUUCUGAAUCUGCAUUUAGCAUGGGUGGUCGAAUACUUGACCCAUUCCGUAGUUCUUUAGCUCCUAGCACGGUAGAAGCACUUAUUUGUUCUCAAGAUUGGUUGCGCUCUCCUUCAAUUGCAAUUAAUCUUCGACAAUUUAUGGAUGAAGUGGAGGAAUUUGAAAAAAUUGAUGCAGGUACUAAUUUAAAUCAUUUAGUUAAUUUGACUAUUUGAGCAUUGUUGUUCUUAUAUAUAUAUAUUGAUUGUUGACACAUGUAUAUCUUGCAUUGUUGUUGUAGAAUUGUUGGGAUCGACAUCAAAUGCUGAUAGUGUUAUGGAAUUGGAAGAAGAAGAGGAAUGAGAUGGUGUUGAUUGUUGAAGACUUGGAGAGUUGCAGCAGCCAACAAGUGAAGAGUAUGAGGUUUAUUAAUUAUUAAUGUAUUGCACUAAUGUGAGUCUGUGACUGUGUAAAAGAGUGUAACACUAGUUUUUUUUUUUUUUUUCUUUUUCUAUGUGUGACUAAGGUUUAAGUGUAAUAGUGUAUGCAGUUUUGCAGUACUGUGAUUGUAUUAUAAAGUUAUGAACUACUGUGAGUGCCAGGUUAUGUCAGAUUCAGAUUUUACAAGUAUUAUGAAUUCUAAUUUUAUCAAGUGUAUCCAGGGAAUUAUGUGUGCUGUGUAUAUAUCAAAUGUAUGCAGUGAAUGAGUGAAUGUGUACAGUAUAUAUCAUGUUUGGGUUGGUUUUGGUUUAUCUAUAAAUAUUUUGGUUUGGUU
Molecule: long non-coding RNA, 2785 nt
Filed under: Aquilegia coerulea
Lineage: Eukaryota; Viridiplantae; Streptophyta; Magnoliopsida; Ranunculales; Ranunculaceae
Description: long non-coding RNA (ACOE_LNC001206)
Source: RNAcentral